RNAcentral lists this ribosomal RNA (372 nucleotides) under uncultured organism. Its description in RNAcentral is "bacterial SSU rRNA". It matches the Rfam family "Bacterial small subunit ribosomal RNA", at positions 526 to 896 of the family's 1533-position model. The record is from RNAcentral.
CGGGGGGGGUAAGCGUUGUUCGGAAUUACUGGGCGUAAAGGGCUCGUAGGCGGCCAACUAAGUCGGACGUGAAAUCCCUCAGCUUAACUGGGGAACUGCGUCCGAUACUGGAUGGCUUGGAUUCGGGAGAGGAAUGCGGAAUUCCAGGUGUAGCGGUGAAAUGCGUAGAUAUCUGGAGGAACACCGGUGGCGAAGGCGGCAUUCUGGACCGACAUUGACGCUGAGGAGCGAAAGCCAGGGGAGCAAACGGGAUUAGAUACCCCGGUAGUCCUGGCCCUAAACGAUGAAUGCUUGGUGUGGCGGGUAUCGAUCCCUGCCGUGCCGAAGCUAACGCAUUAAGCAUUCCGCCUGGGGAGUACGGUCGCAAGGCUG